Molecule: ribosomal RNA, 1412 nt
Filed under: Klebsiella sp. PnB8
Lineage: Bacteria; Pseudomonadati; Pseudomonadota; Gammaproteobacteria; Enterobacterales; Enterobacteriaceae
Description: bacterial SSU rRNA
Rfam family: Bacterial small subunit ribosomal RNA
Source: RNAcentral
ACAUGCAGUCGAGCGGUAGCACAGAGAGCUUGCUCUCGGGUGACGAGCGGCGGACGGGUGAGUAAUGUCUGGGAAACUGCCUGAUGGAGGGGGAUAACUACUGGAAACGGUAGCUAAUACCGCAUAACGUCGCAAGACCAAAGUGGGGGACCUUCGGGCCUCAUGCCAUCAGAUGUGCCCAGAUGGGAUUAGCUAGUAGGUGGGGUAACGGCUCACCUAGGCGACGAUCCCUAGCUGGUCUGAGAGGAUGACCAGCCACACUGGAACUGAGACACGGUCCAGACUCCUACGGGAGGCAGCAGUGGGGAAUAUUGCACAAUGGGCGCAAGCCUGAUGCAGCCAUGCCGCGUGUGUGAAGAAGGCCUUCGGGUUGUAAAGCACUUUCAGCGGGGAGGAAGGCGAUAAGGUUAAUAACCUUGUCGAUUGACGUUACCCGCAGAAGAAGCACCGGCUAACUCCGUGCCAGCAGCCGCGGUAAUACGGAGGGUGCAAGCGUUAAUCGGAAUUACUGGGCGUAAAGCGCACGCAGGCGGUCUGUCAAGUCGGAUGUGAAAUCCCCGGGCUCAACCUGGGAACUGCAUUCGAAACUGGCAGGCUAGAGUCUUGUAGAGGGGGGUAGAAUUCCAGGUGUAGCGGUGAAAUGCGUAGAGAUCUGGAGGAAUACCGGUGGCGAAGGCGGCCCCCUGGACAAAGACUGACGCUCAGGUGCGAAAGCGUGGGGAGCAAACAGGAUUAGAUACCCUGGUAGUCCACGCCGUAAACGAUGUCGAUUUGGAGGUUGUGCCCUUGAGGCGUGGCUUCCGGAGCUAACGCGUUAAAUCGACCGCCUGGGGAGUACGGCCGCAAGGUUAAAACUCAAAUGAAUUGACGGGGGCCCGCACAAGCGGUGGAGCAUGUGGUUUAAUUCGAUGCAACGCGAAGAACCUUACCUGGUCUUGACAUCCACAGAACUUAGCAGAGAUGCUUUGGUGCCUUCGGGAACUGUGAGACAGGUGCUGCAUGGCUGUCGUCAGCUCGUGUUGUGAAAUGUUGGGUUAAGUCCCGCAACGAGCGCAACCCUUAUCCUUUGUUGCCAGCGGUUCGGCCGGGAACUCAAAGGAGACUGCCAGUGAUAAACUGGAGGAAGGUGGGGAUGACGUCAAGUCAUCAUGGCCCUUACGACCAGGGCUACACACGUGCUACAAUGGCAUAUACAAAGAGAAGCGACCUCGCGAGAGCAAGCGGACCUCAUAAAGUAUGUCGUAGUCCGGAUUGGAGUCUGCAACUCGACUCCAUGAAGUCGGAAUCGCUAGUAAUCGUAGAUCAGAAUGCUACGGUGAAUACGUUCCCGGGCCUUGUACACACCGCCCGUCACACCAUGGGAGUGGGUUGCAAAAGAAGUAGGUAGCUUAACCUUCGGGAGGGCGCUUACC